Molecule: small RNA, 1013 nt
Filed under: Rattus norvegicus (Norway rat)
Lineage: Eukaryota; Metazoa; Chordata; Mammalia; Rodentia; Muridae
Description: uncharacterized LOC102548247
Source: RNAcentral
UUAUUGGUAUUUUGCAAAAAUAUUAAAAUUAAGGAGCAUUCCAGGAAUUUUAAAAUGAAUCACCUUUGCUUAAAAACUAUAUACAAUUAUAGUAGAUUGCAUCUGGGAACGAGCCCAGAAAAUGGAGGACUGCUGGUUUAAAGAGCAGGGGAAAAAGUGUGCAGUUGCUACUCUGUGAUUUCUCCACAGGAAAGUCCUUACAGCUCUGCCAGAGCUGAGGAGCUCCUGGGACUGUGCCCCUCCCUUAGCCUCUGGCUGAAAUUCAGAGGUAGGAGACUGGACUGUUCAAGCCAAAAACAAACAUACAUUUUACUCCAGAAUGAGAGAGUUUUCAGAGCAAACUGUUUCUAGAAGCAAGAAGAAAUCACUCCUCCAAUUAGCUUUAAUUUCAGGGUCAUUCCCAUGGCGAUUCGAGGCUUUUGCCCUCGCAGCUGAGAUUGCCGUCCUCCAAUCACUUGCUCGCGCUUCAGUGGAGGGCUUACUUCCGGUUUAGUGUCUUCUGUGAGUUAGGCAACCUGCUAUUUUCAUGAGUGUCUGGGAAUUCUUCAGCGGAGUAUGAAUUCUUCCAAAUUCCAGGUCUAUUGUCCUUGCCUAUGACCUUUAGCCCCGGUUUAAGACUUUUCAGUCUCCUGUGUUUAGCUUCGGGACAUUCUGCCAGAGCUAAUGCUUCAAAGCCUUUUGAGCGUUGGCAUGAGUAGUCAGCCUUACCCCUGGAGGGCCGUUUGCUCUUUUUGCUAUAACUAGUAGAGAUGAGAGUAAACGUGCUCCUUUACCAAGGCAGAGUGUUUACCAAGACUACAUCGAAAAUCAUAAUGCUGGAUUUGUGACGUCACCCUCAAUUGUUUCCAGACGGCUUCUCCGGCUGAUCAAAAAGAAGACGAGGCCAGUGUAUGCGCAUGGGGAAGUAGAUCUUCAAACAGAAAGAGGGUUCAGGAAUAAAAACUGUAAUAAUAAUAUGGAGAUCACAAAAUAACCGUAGGUGACUGAAAGACCCCUGGAGCGGGGAGACCCUC